GACGAACGCUUGCGGCGUGCUUAACACAUGCAAGUCGAACGGAAAGGCCCUGCUUUUGUGGGGUGCUCGAGUGGCGAACGGGUGAGUAACACGUGAGUAACCUGCCCUUGACUUUGGGAUAACUUCAGGAAACUGGGGCUAAUACCGGAUAGGAGCUCCUGCUGCAUGGUGGGGGUUGGAAAGUUUCGGCGGUUGGGGAUGGACUCGCGGCUUAUCAGCUUGUUGGUGGGGUAGUGGCUUACCAAGGCUUUGACGGGUAGCCGGCCUGAGAGGGUGACCGGCCACAUUGGGACUGAGAUACGGCCCAGACUCCUACGGGAGGCAGCAGUGGGGAAUAUUGCACAAUGGGCGGAAGCCUGAUGCAGCAACGCCGCGUGCGGGAUGACGGCCUUCGGGUUGUAAACCGCUUUCGCCUGUGACGAAGCGUGAGUGACGGUAAUGGGUAAAGAAGCACCGGCUAACUACGUGCCAGCAGCCGCGGUGAUACGUAGGGUGCGAGCGUUGUCCGGAUUUAUUGGGCGUAAAGGGCUCGUAGGUGGUUGAUCGCGUCGGAAGUGUAAUCUUGGGGCUUAACCCUGAGCGUGCUUUCGAUACGGGUUGACUUGAGGAAGGUAGGGGAGAAUGGAAUUCCUGGUGGAGCGGUGGAAUGCGCAGAUAUCAGGAGGAACACCAGUGGCGAAGGCGGUUCUCUGGGCCUUUCCUGACGCUGAGGAGCGAAAGCGUGGGGAGCGAACAGGCUUAGAUACCCUGGUAGUCCACGCUGUAAACGGUGGGUACUAGGUGUGGGGUCCAUUCCACGGGUUCCGUGCCGUAGCUAACGCUUUAAGUACCCCGCCUGGGGAGUACGGCCGCAAGGCUAAAACUCAAAGGAAUUGACGGGGCCCCGCACAAGCGGCGGAGCAUGCGGAUUAAUUCGAUGCAACGCGUAGAACCUUACCUGGGUUUGACAUGGAUCGGGAGUGCUCAGAGAUGGGUGUGCCUCUUUUGGGGUCGGUUCACAGGUGGUGCAUGGCUGUCGUCAGCUCGUGUCGUGAGAUGUUGGGUUAAGUCCCGCAACGAGCGCAACCCUUGUUCACUGUUGCCAGCACGUUAUGGUGGGGACUCAGUGGAGACCGCCGGGGUCAACUCGGAGGAAGGUGGGGAUGACGUCAAGUCAUUAUGCCCCUUAUGUCCAGGGCUUCACGCAUGCUACAAUGGCUGGUACAGAGAGUGGCGAGCCUGUGAGGGUGAGCGAAUCUCGGAAAGCCGGUCUCAGUUCGGAUUGGGGUCUGCAACUCGACCUCAUGAAGUCGGAGUCGCUAGUAAUCGCAAAUCAGCAACGCUGCGGUGAAUACGUUCCCGGG
Molecule: ribosomal RNA, 1343 nt
Filed under: uncultured bacterium
Lineage: Bacteria
Description: 16S ribosomal RNA
Rfam family: Bacterial small subunit ribosomal RNA
Source: RNAcentral